UGACACUGCACUUCAGCCUAGGCAACAAGAGCGAUACUCCAUCUAAAAAAAAAAAAAAAAAAAAAAAGCCAAAUUUAUGUGGUAAGGAGUCAUUUUAUGUUCCAAUCUCUCCCCACGUGUUAUGCUUGUUGAAAAUAUAACUUUUUAAACAUUCUAGAUAAAUUAUGGUUGAUAUGCUUUAUCACUAAGAAAAAUGAGGACAAAAAUGAGGACGUUUUACAUCAUUUCUCUAAUUUUUGAAGCCUCCUGCAACUGUUCACUAGUUCUUUUGUCUGCAUAACAGAAUUCCUGCUCAUAAAUAGUAGCCAGAUGUUUGUGAAAUAAAUGAGGCAGUAUGCUGGAUGGAGCAUGCCUCCAAACCAAGUGUACAGUAUAGAUAGUGCCUCCCUUUUAUUGUUUAAAAAAAUUAUUUGAUGAUACUCUUCAAGUAUAGUAAGUCAGACUUUAUUCAGCAUCUUCGAGAUAAGUAUAGGGACCACUGUAAUGGGAUUUUGUAGUUGGGGAAAGAUUGUGCUCAACUCUCAACACAGCAUGGGCAAGUGAGAAUUUAUAGCCAAAGACCUAUAAGGGGGUAGGGCAAUCAGAGGGUGGAAAAUUAUUAAGAGGAUACAUCGGGGAUGAGGGAGAUUCUGGAAGCAACAUAAUUCUUGCUGAAGACGUGAUCAGACUGGUGGAGAAUGAAGAGCAAGGAUUGGGGAGGUUCUUGUUAAAACUAGAUUUUACAACUUGCACGGAUAAGCCUAGGCUUGACUGAAGUUUGGUCAGGCAGUGUAUCUGUCACAAUCAAAAGAUUCAUAUUAAAAGAAUCAAUUGAGAAACAAGGAUAGAUUGAGAAAGUAACCAGUUUAGAUGUAUUUGAUGACGGAAAGAUUAGCUAGGUCACUGGAAAACAUGAAAUCUGUAUAUCAAAAUAAUCCUACAUUACAUCUACUUAAAGGAUAAAAAUGGCAGAAUGAAAGAAUUAUGAGUGGGACUAGAAAAUAGGAAAGACACGAACCAACACCUCAAAUGAGAAAGAAGGAUAUAUAAAGAAAAAGACAAAUACAUGUGAAAAAAACAGACUAAUGGAUUAACAUCUCUGUUGUGUGACAUUAUCUGUGACAGCUGAAGAUGUUGAACCCUGUGAUGCAUUUUUGCAAAUGUGUAUAAAGUAGAAUAUAACUUUGGCCAGUAAUUGUCCAUAGAUUCAAAAAGGAGCCAACCUUUUUGUUUGUAGUGUGAUGUUCCUUGUUCCCUCAAAGGUAACCUUUACACAGAAGAUGUUCAGUUAAACUAAUUCUACCA
Molecule: long non-coding RNA, 1284 nt
Organism: Sapajus apella (tufted capuchin)
Lineage: Eukaryota; Metazoa; Chordata; Mammalia; Primates; Cebidae
Exons: 2
Source: RefSeq, a predicted model, not a curated record